AAGUCGUAACAAGGUAACCGUAGGUGAACCUGCGGUUGGAUCAUUAAUAAUUCAAGAGGUACUUUUACUGUAUCUUUUUGGCUUGCACCACUUGCCAUUUAUUUGGCAUGAGGGGCUUGCUGAUAAAACACACUGUGCACUGUAAUUGUAUUUUGGGGAAGUUAUCGGCGGCUACAGAAAAUUGGCAACCUGCAUAAUGCGCUGUGUCAUGAAGACCGCUAGCAUGUCUUACGGCUUUCCCUGCCCAAACCAUAAACCCAAACCAACGUAUUUAAACAUCAUAUGACUUAUACUUAUUUUUUAUAAAAUAAUACAACUUUUGACAACGGAUCUCUUGGCUCUC
RNAcentral lists this unclassified non-coding RNA (343 nucleotides) under fungal sp. RNAcentral describes it as "partial internal transcribed spacer region". The stretch from base 1 to 46 matches the Rfam family "Eukaryotic small subunit ribosomal RNA", at positions 1786 to 1831 of the family's 1831-position model. The record is from RNAcentral. RNAcentral also lists the same sequence under 1 other name. Lineage: Eukaryota; Fungi.